CGAUCGACGGUGGGACGAGCUGUUGCAACGAUUAGAUACCGUAGUCAGGGUACGCUGCGACUGUGUUGAGGCCUCGGGGUACUCAGUGCGGAGAGAAGUGCUAAGUCGGCACUUGGGAGUACGUCCGCAAGGAUGAAACUUAAAGGAAUUGGCGGGGAGCACCGCAACGGGAGGAGCGUGCGGUUUAAUUGGAUUCAACACCGGAAAACUCACCAAGGGCGACUGUUACAUGAAAGCCAGGCUAAUGACCUUGCUUGAUUUUCAGAGAGGUGGUGCAUGGCCGUCGUCAGUUCGUACCGUAAGGCGUUCUCUUAAGUGAGAUAACGAACGAGACCCUCACUGAUAAUGGCCGCCGGCGAUCCCCGGAUCGGGCGCACAAUGAUAGGGACCGCUGGCGCUAAGUCAGAAGAAAUUUGGUGUCAACAGUAGGUCAGUAUGCCCCGAAUCUCUUGGGCUACACGCGCGCUACAAAGGGCGGGACAAUGAGAAACUAACGCCGAGAGGCGGAGGCAAUCCCGAAACCCGUCCGUAGUUCGGAUUGAGGGUUGUAACUCACCCUCAUGAAGCUGGAUUCCGUAGUAAUCGCGAAUCAACAACUCGCGAAAGGGAGCCCCUGCUCCUUGCACACACCGUA
This 634-nucleotide ribosomal RNA is filed under the name uncultured archaeon. RNAcentral describes it as "bacterial SSU rRNA". It matches the Rfam family "Archaeal small subunit ribosomal RNA", at positions 688 to 1350 of the family's 1478-position model. The record is from RNAcentral.